AAGGAAUCUUCCACAAUGGGCGAAAGCCUGAUGGAGCAAUGCCGCGUGCAGGAAGACGCUUUUCGGAGUGUAAACUGCUUUUCUGAAGGAAGAUUAUGACGGUACUUCAGGAAUAAGGAUCGGCUAACUACGUGCCAGCAGCCGCGGUAAUACGUAGGAUCCAAGCGUUAUCCGGAAUUACUGGGCGUAAAGCGUGCGCAGACGGUUUGAUAGGUCAGUUGCGAAAUCCCGUGGCUCAACCAUGUGGACUGUAAUUGAAACCAUCUGACUAGAGGUAGGUAGAGGCAAGUGGAAUUUCUGGUGUAGGGGUGACAUCCGUAGAUAUCAGAAGGAACACCAAUGGCGAAGGCAGCUUGCUGGGCCUUACCUGACGUUCAGGCACGAAAGCGUGGGGAGCAAAC
This 401-nucleotide ribosomal RNA is filed under the name uncultured bacterium. RNAcentral's name for it is "bacterial SSU rRNA". It matches the Rfam family "Bacterial small subunit ribosomal RNA", at positions 356 to 773 of the family's 1533-position model. The record is from RNAcentral.